RNAcentral lists this ribosomal RNA (512 nucleotides) under Indosylvirana doni (Don's golden-backed frog). RNAcentral describes it as "partial large subunit ribosomal RNA". It matches the Rfam family "Bacterial large subunit ribosomal RNA", at positions 1924 to 2605 of the family's 2925-position model. The record is from RNAcentral. Lineage: Eukaryota; Metazoa; Chordata; Amphibia; Anura; Ranidae.
UUAUCGGCCGCGGUACCCUGACCGUGCGAAGGUAGCAUAAUAACUUGUCCCUUUUUAGGGACUAGCAUCAACGGCAUCUUCAAGGCUGAACUGUCUCUUUUCUCUUAUCAUCAGAAACUGAUCUCCCCGUGAAAAAGCGGGAAUUAUUUUAUUAUACGAGAAGACCCCCUGGAGCUUUAGGUAAUGUAUUCACCUAAAUUUGCUAUACCAACUAAAUAUAACAGCCUGAUUAUUAACCUUAGGUUGGGAGGACCGCGGAGUACAACUAAACCUCCACCACAAAAAGGCGGCACCUUUAUCCUCGAGCUAAACCUCUUAUAAUUAAAAUAUUAAUGUCCCAUGACCCGACCAUUCUAUCUUCAAACCAGGUUACCCUGGGGAUAACAACACAAUCUGCUUAAAGAGCUCAAAUCCCCAUGCACGUUUAUGACCUCGAUGUCGGAUCAGGGUAUCCCAAUGGUGCAGCCGCUACUAUAGGUUUGUUUGUUCAACAAUUACAACCCUACGUGAUC